CGCCACUGCUUACUUCCAACCGCCUCCUCUAAACGAGGUUUAUUACCCCUUUGUUGUUGCGUGUCCACGGGGAUAAAAAAAAGAGGGUGCCCGUCGAUCCGCCCCCAAACAUGCCAGCGACGUAGUUGGACAAUUGAUAUCGGCAAUUCGGAGAAGAAAACGGCGACCCUGCCACCGGAGCCAAAGGACCACAAAACCCUCUUCACCGGGAGAUGUUUCCCAUCUUCACUGUCGCCAGCCUCCACCUGAUUGCUUUAUCACUGCAAACAACAAAUGCCUCCGCCGUAAACCUUUUCCAUAUAAUAUAUUUAAUAGUAAGUUACAGGUCAGAAAACGCUGAUACCAUCCCCAAAACUAAACCCCGUUCCUAUCCCCCAAACUCAAAGGUUCAUACAAAGACCAUUCAGUGCUUAAACACCGAGCCGAAGAGUGGAUAUGGCGGCACUCCCUUCAAUUUCAGAGAAACAGCAUCACCGCCUUCUUCUUCUCCUCCUCAUUAUCGUCUUAUUCGAAUUCCAUCAACAAUACCGAAAUUAACUUCCGUUCAAAAUGGUUCUCGCCUUCUUCUUCGUCUUCUUCCAAAAGAUCAGGAGUUGUUUUAUACUGCACUUGUAGUAGCAAUUCAGAUCAGAUUCAUUCGAACAAGAAGAAAUUCGAAGCAUCCUUACAUUUCGGCGGUGAAAACCUGUCGUCGGUCUACUUUCCAGCAACAAGGACCAACCUUCCUUCAUCUACAUUUUUUUUUGACAAAACUACAAAAUUGGUCCUUGUGGUUUACAAAAAUCUUUGGAUAGGGUCCAAAAAGUUUCCGACUUGCAUGGAAGGUCCAAAAUCGAAUACUUUCCGUGGUUUUAGUCCUAAAAUAAAGAAAUUUCUGUAUUUUUGGUCCUAGGGAAACCUAAAAGGACGAUUUUACCCUUCUAAUUUCCUUUUUGUAUUUUUUGUAUUUUUAUUUUAAUCUUUUAUUAAUUAAAAAUAGAAAAGAAAAGAAUGGACCCAUUUCACACACACACACACACACACACACUCUCUCUCUCUCUCUCUCUCUCUUCGAUGACCAAGAAGAUCACGACUCAGACUAUUCCUCUCCUUUCGUAUACUCCUCCCUAAACCCAAUGACACCACCAUGUUCCUUUAAACCUGUGGUCAUCGGCACCAUCGUCGGUCACCGUCGCAACCCUAUUUGGUUCGCAAUUUGUCCCGAUUAGCCCUUGAAUGCCAUAACUCACCAGAAUCGAUUCAAUCCACGAUUGUGGAUGUUGGCGUUAUCCCAUCUUUCCGAUUUGAAUCUGGAGGCGAUUCUGAACCCAGAAAAACCUAUCUAUCUCAUGUUCAAAUCAAUACAAUCUAUGAAUGCAUUAUGGAUGGACCAGAUUCUGAAUCUUUUCAUCUGAUUAAUCCAGAUGGGUUUCUUGGUUAAAAAGAAGAUAGGAGAGACAUGGAAGUCUUACCCUUCAAUCACAGGUUCAAGGUCCAACUGAACCAGAUGAAUCGAUUUGAAUCGAUUCAACACGGGUCUUGUAAAUUCUAGGGUUAACCGCCAUGGAUAUUGCAAAUCUAGGGCUUGUAAAGUUAAGAUUCACACCUGCAAAUUGAUUGUAGAGAUUUUGUGUAUGUAUAUAUCUAUGCAUGUGUGUUAAUUAGUGUAUAAGAGUUUUGAAUCAGGAAGAUGUCGAUAGAGAAAUGGAAGAUGAUGCAGGUUAAAGUAUGAUUUUGCAUGUGAAAGGGAGAAAGGAAGAUUGCAGGGGCGAUCUUGAAGUUUCAGUGCUCAUCGAAGUUCAGGUGUUCAUAGGAGAUCUUGGUUUCUAAAGAGAUGUACAUGCAUAAAAAAAUUUGUUUAGAAUUUUUUCUUAAGUUGCAGGUUUUGUAUGAGAGAGUAAAAGAGAGGGACAACGAGAAAGUCAAAUGGAAGAACGAUGGGGUUAUGUGUUGCUCUUUUGUUUUUUUUUUUAAUUUGAAGAAGAAGAAGAAGAAGAAGAAGAAGAGAGAGAGAGAGAGAGAGAGAGAGAGAGAGAGAGAGAGAGAAGGGGUACCGUGGGUGUAGUCAUGGAGAGGGGUGCGGUGAUAUUUUGUUAUUUUUUAUUUUUAUAUAAUUUUUUAAAUACUAAACUCAAUAAAAAAAAUAGAAAAAAGAAAUAAUAGGGGUAAAAUGGACAUUUCAAUAUUUUCAGGACCAAAACCAAAGAAAAACCUUGAUUUUGGACUAUCCAUGCAAGUUGGAAACUUUUUGGACCCUAUCCAAAGUUUUUUGAAUACCACAGGGACCAAUUUUACAGUUUUGUCUUUUUUUUUUAUAGAAAACUGCAUCUCCACCUUCCGAUUAAAUAUCAAAAGCAGAGGCCUCCAUCGAUCACAUAUCAAGUACAUUCAGUUAGGUCCCUUUUCCACAUCUCCCUCGAGUACACAUCAAAUUUCAAACUUUAUAGUGGAAGAAAUAUGGGUUUCAUCUUUGUCGAUCACACGAAUUAUAAAUGAUGCAAUCGGCCAUUCCAUAUAUCGACCGAAGAAAGAGACGUAAGCCAGAAAUUAAAGAACUAACAACAAUCACUAAAUGAGGAUAUAACAUCACAUACACGGAGAUUCACUGACAGAAAAUAACAGCAGUGACAGGGGUAAAUCAGGAACGUAAACAGUAUGUGACAACCGGCAAUAUUCUGGUCAAGUCAAAGUCAAGUGAAGGUCAACAAGUCAAUCUGGUCAACUCAACUAGUGCUUAUAUGUUAAGGAUUUCUUUAUGUUACUAAUGUACAACUACAAAUCCUAAUGCAAAGUAACACUUGGAAGUUCCAAAAUAUUCAAAAUUUAAAACGCUAAUCUGAUUUAGGGAA
Molecule: non-coding RNA, 2828 nt
Organism: Lactuca sativa (garden lettuce)
Lineage: Eukaryota; Viridiplantae; Streptophyta; Magnoliopsida; Asterales; Asteraceae
Source: RefSeq, a predicted model, not a curated record